This 4845-nucleotide long non-coding RNA is filed under the name Sus scrofa (pig). RNAcentral's name for it is "lncRNA (ENSSSCG00000054770.1)". Lineage: Eukaryota; Metazoa; Chordata; Mammalia; Artiodactyla; Suidae. The record is from RNAcentral.
UGUGUAUAAUGAGCAGGAUGAAAAUUUUGCUGACAUGAUAUUUUUGUAGGAUAAAACAAGUGAGUUAGUCAGGACUAUAUUCUAAAUUUGAUCUUGUAACUAAAAAGGCAUCUGAAAACCUCAUUUUGGAAUGUCACAGAGAAUUUUUUAUAGUUAUUAGUUUUACUAGAACUUGUAGUCCCAUAAUAAAUUCAACUAAAAUAUAUACUCAACUUUCAAAUAUAAUUAACACACUCUCUUGGGAAAGUCUAGUUUAUAGACCUGAAGGAAUACCUAUUCAAUUAUAGAUAUGGAAGAGUCCCUAUUCAAAUCUGCUUCCUGAAGACAAACCUCCUAAUGUGUUUUAUGUUCCUUUGCACAGAUCUCUCAGUUGAGUUGUCACUACAGGAUAAUUAUGGUUUGAAAAAUCACAAUGACAAAUUGGUAUCUCAAAGCAUAUAGGAAACAAGAGGCUUCUGUGAUAAUAAGGUCUUUUGUAAUGCAAAGCAUAAGUGAUUCUAUACUUUGUAAUAAAAUUAAGAGCAGUAUUAGUCUGUCAAAUAAUCUCAUAUUGUGAUUUAUAGAAAUCCUUUCCUGUGGUAUGCAACUUAGGACAAAAUAGAGUUUAGAAAGUAAUCUUUAAUAAAUUAAGAAGAGGUAUUGUAUUAUUAUUAGCAAUAAAUUAAUAGGUAUUAUAAUUUAGGUAUUAUUUAAUAAAUUAAGAAGAGGUCAUUUUAUACGAUUCCACUAAACUAUCCUAUUUGAGAAUUUUAUAAGGCUUUGUUGUUGUUGCUUAAUCAUUAAGACAUUUAACACUGAGUAUACUUCCAGUCAUGCACAGGAUAAUUGUGCAACAAAGGAUUAACAUUAACCAAAGAGGAGUUCCCGUCGUGGCAGUGGUUAACGAAUGUGACUAGGAACCAUGAGGUUGAGGGUUCGGUCCCUGGCCUUGCUCAGUGGGUUAAGGAUCCAACGUUGCUCUGAGCUGUGGUGUAGGUCACAGACAUGGCUCGGAUCCCGUGAUGCUGUGGCUCUGGCGUAGGCCAGUGGCUACAGCUCUGACUCAACCCCUAGCCUGGGAACCUCCAUAUGCCAUGCCGAGGGAGCGGCCCAAAGAAAUAGCAAAAAGACAAAGAAAGAAAAAACAAAAACAAAAACAAAAACAAAAAAAACAUUAACCAAAGAGAGGUUUAGCCUUUGCCCUUGGCUUCUAGAAGGUAAUUUCCUGCCUGAUAAGAGUGUCUUUGUUUACCUGAUGAACCCUCCUUGCCUGGUAAUCUAUGCUAACAAUGUAGUUUAUGGUGGGGGACCUUGCCCUACUCAGUAUCAGCUCAAUUUCUGCAAAGGUUGAAGACUAAGGCCAGCCAGGUCAACUGUGUAUAACUGAGCCCCAAUAAAAAUUCUGUAUGCCAAAGUUCCAAUGAAUUUUCCUGGUUGGCAAUGCUCCAUGCGUGUUGCCUACAUCACUACUGGGAAGAAUAAGUGCUGUUUGUACUAAUCCCUUGGGAGAGAACAGCUGACAGCUCUGUGCUUUGAUGUACCCUGAAUGCAGCUAUCCGGAUUCCUUCCUCUGUUGCUUUUCAGCCAUAUGCUUUCUCUAUAAUAAGCCCUAACAAUGAGUUAAAAAGCUUUUCUGAGUUCUCUUAAUCUCUCUACCAAAUUAUUGCACCUAACAGUGGUCCUGGGGACCAACCCUAAAACUUGCAAUUGGAGUCAGAAGUGAAAGUGACCUUGAGAUUGCCAAACUUUUUAUCAUCAGAGGUCACUUUAUCUGUUAACCUCAUCAAAUCAAAUUCAGUCUAUUUUCUGAGAACAAUUAUUUCCUUACCUCUUUUUGAGGGAUUGGGAGGAGGGAAAGUAGCCUCUUAAUCUCUGUCAAUCUCAGUUUUCUUAUCUGGGUAAUGAGAAUAAAAAGAUUAAUUACAUAAAAUAUCUUCGACAAUGAAUUUUUAUAAAGAUGUAAAUAUCCCAUCUAAUAAGUCUGGUAUGUGGUAAGAGCUCCAUAAAUGCUAGCAUCUAGUUCUCCUUUCUGACUGAAAUAAAAUAUACCAUAAUAAUUUAUUGAACUUUAUAUAAUCAAUUCACUUUGAUUUAUUCAAAAAAAGAAAAUUCUUUUUCUAUGUCUAAUAUUCUUUAGUUGUGUUCAUUUUACCCAAAGGAUUUUUUGUCAUUGAAGUUGGAAAUCAAUGUGUGUGUGUAUUAAAUUAGAUAGGACUAUAACUAAAACACUUUGUUAUGAAUAUUCUGCUUCCAUGACUUUAUGGUGAGUCUAUGUAUCUUCAUAACAGCAUUCUGCUGAUUUUUCCUUUGAAAGGCUUUAAAGUUAUAUAAAGAAAAAAAAUACAUCUGACUCGGUGCAGUUCUGAGACCUGCCAGGAUUGUGCUGGGAGUUAUUUACAGAAGAUCUAUUUCUUCUGUUGGGAAUACAUAGCACAAGUUUUCCUUAUUGUUCUGGACAUCUCACCCACUAAACCAUUCGUUUUCUCUGAGGACAGAAGUAAAUAGCACAAUUUGUUCUCAGAGACGACUAGCUGUUUCUGAAAUGUGAGGAAGCUCAUGGUAAAUGGGCAGAAUGUUGGAAAUAAAUAAGAAAAAUGAGGCAGCAGAAAUAAAUCUUUUAUGAUGCCUUCUCUCAUUCAUUUAUAUAGAAGCAGUUUUUUUGCCACAGCUACAGGUGACAAGAAACAACAAAGAUUGCUAGUUUGAAAUAUUCCUGAGAAAAUAACUUUAGCACCAAAGUAAUUUCAUCAGGAGCCUCAAAAGGCACUUAUGUGAACCUUUUUAAAAAGUGCAAACUAAAGAUUGAUUUACAGAAAACAAUGAUUGAUUUAUUUAGAAUUCUGGCAAUGUUAUUUUAUUGUUAUUUAAUUUGUAUGAUCCCCCUUUAUUGCAAUAAAUAUUGUAUAAUUCAGACAUCAAAGUUGAGGGAAAGAAAUAUUGAGAUUUCCAAAAAUGCUGUAAUACUUUUUCCAACUGCGUAUAGCCACUUAUAAAUUGUAGCUUUAUUACUUGAUAGAUGACAGAUAUUUUUAUCAUAAUUGUCUCAGGAAAUACUUCUCACUCAAAGUGACUGCAACAAGAUAAAUUGUCCUACCCCUUGAAUGAUGAAGAUAAAAAAGUAAGGCAAACAACAGGCACAACGACGUGAGAUUGAGGGGUAGAAUUGGAUAGGUCCAUGCUUACUUAAAGAGAUUGUGGAGAAUUAUACUUUCUGAACCUGGCUACAGCCAUAUGUAUUCCAUCUAUCAUGUGCUUAUAAUGUGAACUCUAAUUCCUCUCCCCAUGAAUAUGAGCUAAACUUGGUAACUUGCUUCUACUACAUAAAAUACAGCAGAAGUGACACAUUAUGACUUCUGAGGAAAGGUCAUAAAAGGCAACCCAACUUCCAUAUGGAUAUCUUUCUUUUGUGAGGCUCACUCUUGGAUCUCAACUGCCUUGCUGUGAGGAAGCCAUGCUGGGUUUUCUGGUGGCAACUCCACUUGAUAAAAAUCUUCAAGUACCAUACAUUUGAGUAAGUGAAUCUCUACUGAUUCUACCCCUCAGUCUCUGAGCCUCUGAUGCCAGGUAAUGAGACAGAAUGAGCUGUCCUAGUUGAGACCUGUCCAAAUAGCAGAUUCUUGAACAAAAUAAAUAUUGUUACUAUUUUAAAUCAUUAUAUGUCUUGUAUCGAUUUUUUAAAAUCUAGCAAUACAUAGCAGGAACACUAAAUUUUGAAGUGAAACAUUUGAGACAAGAUUAGUCUUGUGUGUUAUACAAUAAUAAAGAUAACAUAGCAGGGUAGAAGUAGGGCAAAUUCUGAUUGUCUCUGUUGACUUUUAGUCAUGGUCUUUGGGCAUAUUUGAACAUAACCAGCAUCAAGUCUACAUAGCCUCAUAUAAGGAAACACAUAUACACCAGAGAUGAGGAAUAAAAUAAUCAUAUAUUUGAUAAUUAUUAGGUAACCAUUAUUUUAAAAUGAAUGGGACUAAAAAUACCAUAAUCUUAAUAUUUAUAAAUACCUACAAUUAUGUAACAAUUAAACUUUUAGUCAUUUGUGUUGACUAGAAGAUUAUUGUAAUAACUUGUUUUGAAAGAAAUAAUACAUUCAUUGCUUUGUGUUAUUGAGAAUAUGGCAGAUAAUGUUUUCAGUUCUUCAUCAUAUUUAUUUAUUUUAAACUGCAAAUCAUCCCUGUCCAGAGAAGUAAUUUAAAACAUUUAAAUGUCUCAUGUUUUUACAUAAAUCAUGUCAACUCUAAAGGUAUGAUAUUUAAAGAAGAUAAUAUAACCAGUUUUCUUCAAGUGCUUUUUAAAAAUAUUUAUAUUCAAAUAAAAAGUAACACCUAUUUUAUUAAAGAAGGUAACCCUGAUUGUGCCUUUAUAUAAUCAGGACAUGAGUCUCUUACAUUAAAUUGUAAGGAGAGAAAUAUCUCUCUAUGAUAUACAAAGUGUGUCCAAAAUAAAUGAGAUAAACAUUCUCCCUAUACCCAUUUACCCAUAAGCUAUCACCAUUUUUGUCACUACUCUUUGGUUCAUUUUCUCUUUUUGUGAUCUUAAUAGGACACAGUUGAACAGCAGAAAAUUUUACUAAUCUUACUCUAGUCUUGUGAAAAAAAGGAAUGGAGAGAGAGAAUCAGUCUAGUAGCAUGCAUAUGCAUAUUAAAUCUUGUACAAAGGUACAUUCCUCAGUCAGGGAGCUUCAGAAGGACACAGUCCAGUUGAGGUGUAGAGAACCAAUAGAAACUUGCCUCUGCACUUAAAAAAGGAUACAACAUGGUGCCAGUGAUGGUAGGGAGCUGCUUAUAGGUCAAGGUAUAAUAUCAGAGUUUGUGUUAUGUUUUUUUUCCUUUCCAACCCAAGAAAGCUCUUUUUAGUAAGCCAUUCUGGUUU